This 868-nucleotide long non-coding RNA is filed under the name Ananas comosus (pineapple). RNAcentral describes it as "long non-coding RNA (ACOM_LNC036216)". The record is from RNAcentral. Lineage: Eukaryota; Viridiplantae; Streptophyta; Magnoliopsida; Poales; Bromeliaceae.
UGUGAGUAAAUUAAUUAAUUAAGGUAAAAUUAAAGAUAAAUUAGUUAAUUAUAAAUUAACAAAUUAAUUAAUAAUUAAUUAAUUAUAAAUAAAUAAAUAAAUAAAAUAAUUAUUGAAAAUUAUAAAUAAUAAUAAUUUAAUUAAUAAGUAUAAAUAAUAAAUUAAUAAAUUAUUUUAUUAUUUAAGCAAUAAAUAAUAAUUUAAAUAUAUUAAUUAAACUAAUUAAUUAUUUAAUACCAUAAUUAAAAUUAUUUUUAGACUUUAAUUAAUUUUAUUCUCACCUGGGAACAAGCUUGUUCCAAGAAAAUGGUGGAACAACAGUUCUAGCUUUAUACCGGCUUAUUUCAGAAAUUCGAGAACUACUAUUCUCGGAUACCAAACGCAACGUUUGGGAACAAAAGGGAGAAUAUAGGCUUAUUCCCCCACUUGUUCUCGAACCAAAUAUUACCCUAGGGUUUAGUUGACGGAAUGACUAUAGUAUCAGCGACUAGUCGACAUAUCUGUAGAGUGUCGGGACGAGUCAGAAUCGUUUUCGCGCGAAAUGGAUGUGAAAACGGACUUGAUGCACUCAAAUAAGCCAAAUCUGAAGUUCUGUCAGUUUAAUUAGGACGCCCAGAAAUGGGCUUAGGGCGUCCAGAUCUUGAGUGCUGUUUUGUAUUGGAUGCUGAAGUCAUUUCGGACCCUUUUAGGGCGCCCGAAAAGUGGAUCCGAAAGUUCACUUCGUGAAUAUCGAUUGUAUUGACACGUGGCUAUGGUAGGUGAGAUCCGCUGGAACAGGAUAGAGGUGUAGUAGACCGUCAGACGGAGGAACCGAGGUGCUGUUUGUGUAGGCUGGAACUUUUGGGCGUUCAGAACUGGGUUUAGGCCG